This 716-nucleotide ribosomal RNA is filed under the name Salmonella enterica subsp. enterica serovar Newport. RNAcentral's name for it is "partial 23S ribosomal RNA". It matches the Rfam family "Bacterial large subunit ribosomal RNA", at positions 2164 to 2874 of the family's 2925-position model. Lineage: Bacteria; Pseudomonadati; Pseudomonadota; Gammaproteobacteria; Enterobacterales; Enterobacteriaceae. The record is from RNAcentral.
GUGGACGCCAGUCUGCGUGGAGCCGACCUUGAAAUACCACCCUUUAAUGUUUGAUGUUCUAACGUGGACCCGUAAUCCGGGUUGCGGACAGUGUCUGGUGGGUAGUUUGACUGGGGCGGUCUCCUCCUAAAGAGUAACGGAGGAGCACGAAGGUUGGCUAAUCCUGGUCGGACAUCAGGAGGUUAGUGCAAUGGCAUAAGCCAGCUUGACUGCGAGCGUGACGGCGCGAGCAGGUGCGAAAGCAGGUCAUAGUGAUCCGGUGGUUCUGAAUGGAAGGGCCAUCGCUCAACGGAUAAAAGGUACUCCGGGGAUAACAGGCUGAUACCGCCCAAGAGUUCAUAUCGACGGCGGUGUUUGGCACCUCGAUGUCGGCUCAUCACAUCCUGGGGCUGAAGUAGGUCCCAAGGGUAUGGCUGUUCGCCAUUUAAAGUGGUACGCGAGCUGGGUUUAGAACGUCGUGAGACAGUUCGGUCCCUAUCUGCCGUGGGCGCUGGAGAACUGAGGGGGGCUGCUCCUAGUACGAGAGGACCGGAGUGGACGCAUCACUGGUGUUCGGGUUGUCAUGCCAAUGGCACUGCCCGGUAGCUAAAUGCGGAAGAGAUAAGUGCUGAAAGCAUCUAAGCACGAAACUUGCCCCGAGAUGAGUUCUCCCUGAGACUUAGAGUCUCCUGAAGGAACGUUGAAGACGACGACGUUGAUAGGCCGGGUGUGUAAGC